Molecule: ribosomal RNA, 497 nt
Filed under: uncultured bacterium
Lineage: Bacteria
Description: partial 16S ribosomal RNA
Rfam family: Bacterial small subunit ribosomal RNA
Source: RNAcentral
GACGAACGCUGGCGGCGUGCCUAAUACAUGCAAGUUGAGCGCUGAAGGUUGGUACUUGUACCUACUGGAUGAGCAGCGAACGGGUGAGUAACGCGUGGGGAAUCUGCCUUUGAGCGGGGGACAACAUUUGGAAACGAAUGCUAAUACCGCAUAAAAACUUUAAACACAAGUUUUAAGUUUGAAAGAUGCAAUUGCAUCACUCAAAGAUGAUCCCGCGUUGUAUUAGUUAGUUGGUGAGGUAAAGGCUCACCAAGGCGAUGAUACAUAGCCGACCUGAGAGGGUGAUCGGCCACAUUGGGACUGAGACACGGCCCAAACUCCUACGGGAGGCAGCAGUAGGGAAUCUUCGGCAAUGGACGAAAGUCUGACCGAGCAACGCCGCGGGAGUGAAGAAGGUUUUCGGAUCGUAAAACUCUGUUGGUAGAGAAGAACGCUGGUGAGAGUGGAAAGCUCAUCAAGUGACGGUAACUACCCAGAAAGGGACGGCUAACUACGUG